This 274-nucleotide ribosomal RNA is filed under the name uncultured Shewanella sp. Its description in RNAcentral is "partial 16S ribosomal RNA". It matches the Rfam family "Bacterial small subunit ribosomal RNA", at positions 524 to 796 of the family's 1533-position model. The record is from RNAcentral. Lineage: Bacteria; Pseudomonadati; Pseudomonadota; Gammaproteobacteria; Alteromonadales; Shewanellaceae.
UACGGAGGGUCCGAGCGUUAAUCGGAAUUACUGGGCGUAAAGCGUGCGCAGGCGGUUUGUUAAGCGAGAUGUGAAAGCCCUGGGCUCAACCUAGGAAUAGCAUUUCGAACUGGCGAACUAGAGUCUUGUAGAGGGGGGUAGAAUUCCAGGUGUAGCGGUGAAAUGCGUAGAGAUCUGGAGGAAUACCGGUGGCGAAGGCGGCCCCCUGGACAAAGACUGACGCUCAUGCACGAAAGCGUGGGGAGCAAACAGGAUUAGAAACCCCGGGUAGUCC